AGAGAGCAAUAAGACUUUAUUGGGGGGUCAUGGGGGUAAAUGGGGGGGUCAUGGGGAUAAAUGGGGGGGUUACAGGGGGCUCACACGGGGGGGGGUCUGUGGUGCCGCAGCUGCAGCCCCAGGGCCGGGCCCCCCCAGAGCAGCAGCAGCAGCCCCAGCCCCAGCACCCAGCCCAGCACUGGGAGCACCAGUGGGGCCACUGGGGGGGCCACUGGGGGCAGCGGCAGCAGCGCUGGGCUCACUGCUGCUGUCCGUGGCGGCACUGGCGGCGCUGGUGGCACUGGUGGCAGUGCCAGCAGCGCUGCUGGUGGUGCCGCUGGCGGUGGUACCGGUGAUACUGGUGGUGCUGGUGCCGCUGGUGCCCUACCACCCCCCAUAGCCCCCCGGCCCCACUGCCCUCACAUGCCGCAGGUCUCCUGGAGCUGGUUCAACUGGUGCCGGAGCCGCGUCGCCUCCAACCGCUGCUCCUGGGGGGGGACACGGGGUUGGGGGGUCCCCAUUGCCCCUCCAUUGCCCCCCGCUGCCCCACUGCCCCACUGCCCCAUACCCUCACUGCUGUCUCAUACUCCUCCAGCGCUGCCGUCAGCUCGGCCACCCUCUGCCCGGCCUAGGCUGCGCUGGUGGCACCGGGCGCCGGGGGGGCCGGGGAGGACCGGGGGGGGCCUCACCUCCAGGCGCGUCACCUCGGCCACCAGCGCCUGCAGCCGCCGCCGCAGCUCCAGCCCCUCGCUCUGCAGCUGCUGGUUCUGCCGGGGGCCCAUCGGCGCGCGAGCGGAGGCUGUUCUGCUCCUUCUCCUGGUCCUCAUCCUGCGCCGCAGCUCCACGUUCUCCUCCUCCAGCCCCUUCACCGCGGCCUUGGUGUCCUCCAGCUCCUCGGUGGCCGCGCGCGCCCGCUCCAGCGCCUGCUGCCGGAGCUGCCCCCGCAGCUGCUGCAGCUCCUCUCCCAGGCGCGAGUUGAGCUCCUCGGAGGCCUCCGCGUCCCGCUGCAGCUUCCGGUUGUGGGAGGCCAAGUGCUGGGCGCGGGACAGGAGCUCCAGCGCUGCACUGCCCGUGCCUGCUCCGUGCUCGCUCUCCGGUGCCGCGGGUCCCUCCUCUGCAGCGGGCUGUGGGGCGGUACCUGUGCGCUGCGGGUCGCAGGCCGCGAAGGUGCUCUCGAGCACGAACUCCUGCCCGCAGCCGCCGCCGCCGCUGCCGGGGUCCCCCCGCGCCGGGGCCGGGGCCGGUUCCGGGGCUCCCCCCGCGCGGGGCCGGGGCCGGGGCCGGGGCCCGGGCCC
This 1274-nucleotide long non-coding RNA is filed under the name Strigops habroptila (Kakapo). Its description in RNAcentral is "lncRNA (ENSSHBG00005005950.1)". Lineage: Eukaryota; Metazoa; Chordata; Aves; Psittaciformes; Psittacidae. The record is from RNAcentral.